UGCGGGUACAGGAAAAUAGGUUGGCAUGGCCAUUGGUAUAUAGGCAGGCAGGUAGACUUUGCCCUAAUCCGUUACGGUACGCUAGACCACUAUUUCUUCUGCAACUUCUUUUAGGAUAAUACGUUUCUGUGGACCAUCGUUCUGAACCCCACCCCCGGUCAAGUCUCUGAACCUUCUCCGUAGGCCCCGAAGGGCCCGUAGGAGCUUGGCUGCGGAUUGUCCAUUGUCACAUCACUCGCGUUUUUCCGAUACCCGAGGCUAUUAACCUGGCCACCAGCGUCUUUCGACAACCGGCUUCGGAGCGAAUGCUUUAGGAGUUUCCCGCAAUAAGAGGGUGUCGCCUCCGGAGAGACUAGCACUUAGUUCGGCCGAGGCCAGGGACAACCAUUAACCCUUUCGGGCUGCUUUUAGGAGCAGAGUUACUGCGGAGUUUACCCCUGGUGGUGCCCUUCCGUCAAUUUCUUUAAGUUUCAGCCUUGCGACCAUACUCCCCCUGGAGCCCAAGCACUUUGAUUUCUCGUAAGGUGCCGAACGAGUCAAAAAAUAACAUCGUCCGAUCCCUAGUCGGCAUAGUUUAUGGUUAAGACUAGGGAAAGGUAUCUGAUC
RNAcentral lists this ribosomal RNA (606 nucleotides) under Colletotrichum sp. JP163. RNAcentral's name for it is "partial 18S ribosomal RNA". Lineage: Eukaryota; Fungi; Ascomycota; Sordariomycetes; Glomerellales; Glomerellaceae. The record is from RNAcentral.